This 1119-nucleotide long non-coding RNA is filed under the name Struthio camelus australis. Its description in RNAcentral is "lncRNA (ENSSCUG00000012733.1)". The record is from RNAcentral. Lineage: Eukaryota; Metazoa; Chordata; Aves; Struthioniformes; Struthionidae.
AGAGAACAGUUUGUCAAUAUUUUAUAUACUGUUAAUAAUUCAUGGUUUUAUUAUAUAAUCAGAGAGGAAUCUCACUCCAGAGGGUCUCAGCACAGGAGGAAACAGCAGAGGAAAAAAUGAAGUGAAAGAACGCAGAACCUCAAAGUAUUAAGUGAGUGAAAGAUUGACAGCCGGUCGUGCAUGCAUCACACCAUCAGCCUGCUCUUCAAGUCUCAGCUGUAAGGCACUGCCGGUGUUGCAUCCUUGGUCCAUAUGCCUGAAACCGAACCACCCAAGAUGACAGCCAGUGGUAAAAUGCAGUUCGUGAGCAACUCUCACAGUGUUUGGCUCAAGAGGUACAAAGACUGCCUACUAUCCGUAAGAUACUGAAAGCACGCUUUCUGUGACGUGAAAAAAAAGUGGAAGAUGAUAUAUGAUGAUCUAACUGGCAUUUGAAAAAGCUCAUCACCCCUUUUUGAAGAAGAGGACCCCAGGGAAAUGUAGGAAAAGUGUACUCCUGAGGUCAGCCUGACAUUUGUCGUCUCGUGCGUGGGAAAACAUUCUCCUUGAAAAGAAGAUGGAGUCAUGACGACUUGGAAGCAGAAUGGAGAGAGGAAAGCGUUGGCUGUGAUCCCGGGCAUGUAGAGACAGCUGCUUGUAUGGUGCAGGUAGUGCUUGUGUUGCAGGAGGACGGGGAGACCACCACAGAGACCUAGGUCUCCUUGACCCAGCACAGAUAUGCGAGGAAGGAUGGCCUCUGCCUCCCCACGUGCAGCCUAAGUAGGUGCAGCAGGGAAAUCAAGCCUUAGCAGCACUUCUUUACCAAAGAGAAACCUCAGCAGAGAAGCAGGUGAGGUGAGAUGUUAAUGUACCACACCUACAAACCAAUCCAUUGGAAAGAAACAUUCUGCUCUUGCUGAAUUUGGUGCCAUGGGAUUUCUCGGGAAGAAGUUCAGUUGUGCGGUUAAAGGGACAUGUCAGACGGCAGACAGAAAAGAUCCCUGGGUGGUACCAAAGAGCACAGUUGCAGGGUAUUGAAUACAAAUAUGAUCAGCUCACAAAGGGACAAAUCCUGUCUCUGCUGAAGCCAGGAGGAGCUUUGCCAUUGACUUCAGAAGGAGCAGGAGCCAGUCCAAGAUG